This 765-nucleotide ribosomal RNA is filed under the name uncultured Streptococcus sp. RNAcentral describes it as "bacterial SSU rRNA". It matches the Rfam family "Bacterial small subunit ribosomal RNA", at positions 28 to 776 of the family's 1533-position model. The record is from RNAcentral. Lineage: Bacteria; Bacillati; Bacillota; Bacilli; Lactobacillales; Streptococcaceae.
GACGAACGCUGGCGGCGUGCCUAAUACAUGCAAGUAGAACGCUGAAGAGAGGAGCUUGCUCUUCUUGGAAGAGUUGCGAACGGGUGAGUAACGCGUAGGUAACCUGCCUUGUAGCGGGGGAUAACUAUUGGAAACGAUAGCUAAUACCGCAUAACAAUGGGUGACCCAUGUCAUUCAUUUGAAAGGGGCAACUGCUCCACUACAAGAUGGACCUGCGUUGUAUUAGCUAGUAGGUGAGGUAACGGCUCACCUAGGCGACGAUACAUAGCCGACCUGAGAGGGUGAUCGGCCACACUGGGACUGAGACACGGCCCAGACUCCUACGGGAGGCGGCAGUAGGGAAUCUUCGGCAAUGGGGGCAACCCUGACCGAGCAACGCCGCGUGAGUGAAGAAGGUUUUCGGAUCGUAAAGCUCUGUUGUAAGUCAAGAACGAGUGUGAGAGUGGAAAGUUCACACUGUGACGGUAGCUUACCAGAAAGGGACGGCUAACUACGUGCCAGCAGCCGCGGUAAUACGUAGGUCCCGAGCGUUGUCCGGAUUUAUUGGGCGUAAAGCGAGCGCAGGCGGUUUGAUAAGUCUGAAGUUAAAGGCUGUGGCUCAACCAUAGUUCGCUUUGGAAACUGUCAAACUUGAGUGCAGAAGGGGAGAGUGGAAUUCCAUGUGUAGCGGUGAAAUGCGUAGAUAUAUGGAGGAACACCGGUGGCGGAAGCGGCUCUCUGGUCUGUAACUGACGCUGAGGCUCGAAAGCGUGGGGAGCGAACAGG